Pristis pectinata (smalltooth sawfish) is the source of this 693-nucleotide long non-coding RNA. RefSeq lists it as uncharacterized. The record is from RefSeq and is a predicted model, not a curated record. NCBI's taxonomy places the organism in Eukaryota, Metazoa, Chordata, Chondrichthyes, Rhinopristiformes, Pristidae. The transcript is spliced from 3 exons.
GUGAAUACCAACCUGUGAAUAUCAGGCUUCAGUGAGGAGUGUGAGCAACACUAAGGUUGUGGACAAUGCUGACAUUGCCAGAACUUACUGUCCACCUCUACGGCAUUACUGGACAAGUAAUACUACAUCCUGUACUGUUGAAGAGGAAAUGUUUGGAGAGAAUUGCAUGUCGGAGAGAUCAAGCUUAUUUAAUAACAAUGUGAUCUUCUCAGCACUGAGGCCCUAGUUGAACUCGGUCUGUUCUAUUGGGCAAGCCACAUCAUUCACCGGAAUCCUAAAACUAUCUAUCCUGAGAUCUCUCACAGGAAUAGAUUAUUAGGUGGACAGAGGAAAGAUGUACUCAGUCUUCUCAAAAAGUACAACAUCCUUACUGAGUCUGAACACUUACCCAAUUUUUGCAAAGAAAAUUAAACCAAUUAUCUCCCAAAGAUUUUGGUACAAUGAACAUUGGAAAGCAACCAAUUUGACAAACCAGUUUGAAAAUAUCCCUUGACAUAUUUUACACCCUCUACAUCCAUGUUUAAUUUUUCUAUUCACCUCUCUCUACCUCACUCCCAUUAAAGAACAAUGGUGAAUUGAGAAAUCAGUGCUGUAAUUUUACAUAUGCAAAUGAUAAAUAUUAUAACUCGGUAAUAGGGGAGUGAUGGAAAUUAAAUUUAAAUAUUCUGGCUAUAUUAUUACAUUAUUGACAAU